This 447-nucleotide ribosomal RNA is filed under the name uncultured bacterium. RNAcentral's name for it is "partial 16S ribosomal RNA". It matches the Rfam family "Bacterial small subunit ribosomal RNA", at positions 29 to 523 of the family's 1533-position model. The record is from RNAcentral.
AGCGAACGCUGGCGGCAGGCCUAACACAUGCAAGUCGAGCGCCCCGCAAGGGGAGCGGCAGACGGGAGAGUAACACGUGGGAACAUGCCCUUCAGUUCGGAACAACCCAGGGAAACUUGGGCUAAUACCGAAUACGUCCGUAAGGAGAAAGAUUUAUCGCUGAAGGAUUGGCCCGCGUCCGAUUAGCUAGUUGGUGAGGUAACGGCUCACCAAGGCGACGAUCGGUAGCUGGUCUGAGAGGAUGAUCAGCCUCACUGGGACUGAGACACGGCCCAGACUCCUACGGGAGGCAGCAGUGGGGAAUAUUGGACAAUGGGCGCAAGCCUGAUCCAGCCAUGCCGCGUGGGUGAUGAAGGCCCUAGGGUUGUAAAGCCCUUUCGGCGGGGAAGAUAAUGACGGUACCCGCAGAAGAAGCCCCGGCAAACUUCGUGCCAGCCGCCGCCGUAA